CCCCACUACUCUUCAAUGAUUCAGCCCAAGUGCCUCUGGCCCCGGGACGCGCCUUUGGGCUAUCUCGUGUCCACACUGAAGGCAGAAGACAAAGGACUCCAAAGCUGAGCUGAUUUACACUCUCCUCCGGAGUGACAGGGGUCCCGGGGUAGUGGCGCUGCAGCCAAUUACAGAUGAGCUGUCCUUGCAGCUCUGCCUGUCCCCGCAGCCCUCUGGCCCCCUGACAGUGGUCAUCAUGGUGCGGGACAGGUUGGCCUACCCUGCCUUGCAUUGCCACACUGCUUCUCGUGCCCGCGGGCCCAGUGCCACCUGGCGGUAAAGUAGUGCUGGUGCCUACGCCACCGCCAAGGGAGCCAGGAAAGGGACCGGAAGUGAGAAGCACAGAGCAGGCAGACUGAGGCAGCAGCCUGACCUUUCUGUAGUCUGGGUCGGUGUCUUGGCCAGAGGCUGAAACCUUCUGCCAGUAGCCAUUGUUAGUGUGACUUGUUUCUGCCAGGGCAAGGCUAGGUCGCAGAGGAAGAAGCUUUGUGAGCGCUAGCCAAGUGGGUAUCAGGCGAGGACUGACCAAGCUGCUCCAAGUCAGAGAAAUUUAAGAGCUAAUCCUGAGGACUUCAACUGGACAUUCUUCAUGGAGUCACCGCUGUUCUCCAUUUCUGCAGAGAUCCUGAAUAUCUUUGUGUCCCUCUCCUCAGGAGAGGACUGGGAUCCCACUUGCCCAGGGCUCAAUCUCAGUUCUUUCUCAUUCCCCAUCCUUUCCUAGAGAGGAUAAAUCUGCUGCAAGUUUAAGAUGAAUUUAGUGUGAAGGACAGUGGAAAAGGAGACAGUGAAUUGAACGACAGCAUUUCUGAUAUCAGCAGAGAGGGCUUCAAAAAAGCAUCCUAUCAAAUGACUGCAAAGCAAAUUGAGUAUUCAAAACAAGAAACAUUUAAGGAUCCUGAAAGAUUAAACCAUGUAUUCCAAACAAGCAAGUAUCUUUUACCAUGAAAAUACCUGCAGGAUUGAACUUUCUUCAAAGACCCUGGUCUCUCAGAUUCCCCAGCUGAGAAGUAUGAAUUUCCAACCAGAG
Molecule: long non-coding RNA, 1066 nt
Organism: Heterocephalus glaber (naked mole-rat)
Lineage: Eukaryota; Metazoa; Chordata; Mammalia; Rodentia; Bathyergidae
Source: Ensembl